RNAcentral lists this ribosomal RNA (429 nucleotides) under Bacteroidota bacterium. Its description in RNAcentral is "Bacteroidetes bacterium partial 16S ribosomal RNA". It matches the Rfam family "Bacterial small subunit ribosomal RNA", at positions 355 to 776 of the family's 1533-position model. The record is from RNAcentral. Lineage: Bacteria; Pseudomonadati; Bacteroidota.
UAGGGAAUCUUCCGCAAUGGACGCAAGUCUGACGGAGCAACGCCGCGUGAGUGAAGAAGGAUUUCGGUUCGUAAAACUCUGUUGUUAGAGAAGAACAGCGCAUAGAGUAACUGUUAUGCGUGUGACGGUAUCUAACCAGAAAGCCACGUCUAACUACGUGCCAGCAGCCGCGGUAAUACGUAGGUGGCAAGCGUUGUCCGGAUUUAUUGGGCGUAAAGCGAGCGCAGGCGGUCAAUUAAGUCUGAUGUGAAAGCCCCCGGCUCAACCGGGGAGGGGCAUUGGAAACUGGUUUACUUGAGUGCAGAAGAGGAGAGUGGAAUUGCAUGUGUAGCGGUGAAAUGCGUAGAUAUAUGGAGGAACACCAGUGGCGAAGGCGACUUUCUGGUCUGUAACUGACGCUGAGGCUCGAAGGCGUGGGUAGCAAACAGG